UCGAGAAUUUUUCUCAAUGGGCGAAAGCCUGAAGGAGCGACGCCGCGUGGGGGAUGAAUGGCUUCGGCCCGUAAACCCCUGUCAUUUGCGAACAAACCUUUCCACCUAAUACGUGGAGAGCUGAUUGUAGCGGAAGAGGAAGGGACGGCUAACUCUGUGCCAGCAGCCGCGGUAAUACAGAGGUCCCAAGCGUUGUUCGGAUUCACUGGGCGUAAAGGGUGCGUAGGCGGUCGGGUAAGUCUGGUGUGAAAUCCCGCAGCUCAACUGCGGAAUGGCACUGGAUACUAUUCGGCUGGAGGGUUGGAGGGGGGACUGGAAUUCUCGGUGUAGCAGUGAAAUGCGUAGAUAUCGAGAGGAACACCAGUGGCGAAGGCGAGUCCCUGGACAACUCCUGACGCUGAGGCACGAAAGCUAGGGGAGCAAACAGGAUUAGAUACCCCUGUAGUCC
RNAcentral lists this ribosomal RNA (448 nucleotides) under uncultured bacterium. RNAcentral's name for it is "bacterial SSU rRNA". It matches the Rfam family "Bacterial small subunit ribosomal RNA", at positions 355 to 796 of the family's 1533-position model. The record is from RNAcentral.